This 450-nucleotide ribosomal RNA is filed under the name uncultured bacterium. Its description in RNAcentral is "bacterial SSU rRNA". It matches the Rfam family "Bacterial small subunit ribosomal RNA", at positions 354 to 796 of the family's 1533-position model. The record is from RNAcentral.
GUGGGGAAUAUUGGACAAUGGGCGAAAGCCUGAUCCAGCCAUGCCGCGUGUGUGAAGAAGGUCUUCGGAUUGUAAAGCACUUUAAGUUGGGAGGAAGGGCAGUAAGUUAAUACCUUGCUGUUUUGAUGUUACCGACAGAAUAAGCACCGGCUAACUUCGUGCCAGCAGCCGCGGUAAUACGAAGGGUGCAAGCGUUAAUCGGAAUUACUGGGCGUAAAGCGCGCGUAGGUGGUUUUGUAAGUUGGAGGUGAAAUCCCCGGGCUCAACCUGGGAACUGCCUCCAAAACUGCAUGACUAGAGUACGGUAGAGGGUAGUGGAAUUUCCUGUGUAGCGGUGAAAUGCGUAGAUAUAGGAAGGAACACCAGUGGCGAAGGCGACUACCUGGACUGAUACUGACACUGAGGUGCGAAAGCGUGGGGAGCAAACAGGAUUAGAAACCCCAGUAGUCC